RNAcentral lists this ribosomal RNA (543 nucleotides) under uncultured rumen bacterium. RNAcentral's name for it is "bacterial SSU rRNA". It matches the Rfam family "Bacterial small subunit ribosomal RNA", at positions 919 to 1482 of the family's 1533-position model. The record is from RNAcentral.
GGCCGCACAGCGAGAACAUGUGGUUAUUCGAUGAUACGCGAGAACCUUACCGGGCUGAACUGCAGAGAAGGAUACAGAGAUGUUGACGCCUUCGGGGCUCCUGUGAGGUGCUGCAUGGUUGUCGUCAGCUCGUGCCGUGAGGUGUCGGCUUAAGUGCCAUAACGAGCGCAACCCCUCUCUUCAGUUGCCAUCAGGUCUAGCUGGGCACUCUGGAGACACUGCCACCGCAAGGUGUGAGGAAGGUGGGGACGACGUCAAAUCAGCACGGCCCUUACGUCCGGGGCUACACACGUGUUACAAUGGGUGGUACAGAGAGUAAGUCCCCAGCAAUGUGGAUUCAAUCAUGAAAGCCAUCCUCAGUUCGGAUUGGGGUCUGCAACCCGACCCCAUGAAGCUGGAUUCGCUAGUAAUCGCGCAUCAGCCAUGGCGCGGUGAAUACGUUCCCGGGCCUUGUACACACCGCCCGUCAAGCCAUGAAAGCCGGGGGCGCCUGAAGUCCGUGACCGCGAGGAUCGGCCUGGGGCGAAACUGGUGAUUGGGGCU